CCUACGGGAUGCACCAGGAAGGAAUAUUGGACAAUGGGCGAAAGCCUGAUCCAGCAAUACCGCGUGAAUGAUGAAGGCCUUAGGGUUGUAAAGUUCUUUUAGUAGGGAAGAUAAUGACGGUACCUACAGAAAAAGCCCCGGCUAACUCCGUGCCAGCAGCCGCGGUAAGACGGAGGGGGCUAGCGUUGUUCGGAAUUACUGGGCGUAAAGGGCGCGUAGGCGGAUUAGUAAGUUGGAAGUGAAAUCCCGGGGCUUAACCUCGGAAUUGCUUUCAAAACUACUAGUCUAGAGUGAAGUAGGGGAUGAUGGAAUUUCUAGUGUAGAGGUGAAAUUAUUAGAUAUUAGAAGGAACACCGGUGGCGAAGGCGAUCAUCUGGGCUUCUACUGACGCUGAGGCGCGAAAGCGUGGGGAGCAAACAGGAUUAGAUACCCUAGUAGUC
RNAcentral lists this ribosomal RNA (440 nucleotides) under uncultured bacterium. Its description in RNAcentral is "bacterial SSU rRNA". It matches the Rfam family "Bacterial small subunit ribosomal RNA", at positions 338 to 795 of the family's 1533-position model. The record is from RNAcentral.